Molecule: ribosomal RNA, 492 nt
Filed under: uncultured bacterium
Lineage: Bacteria
Description: partial 16S ribosomal RNA
Rfam family: Bacterial small subunit ribosomal RNA
Source: RNAcentral
AGUGAACGCUGGCGGUAUGCCUAACACAUGCAAGUCGAACGGCAGCACAGUAAGAGCUUGCUCUUACGGGUGGCGAGUGGCGGACGGGUGAGGAAUACAUCGGAAUCUACUUUUUCGUGGGGGAUAACGUAGGGAAACUUACGCUAAUACCGCAUACGACCUACGGGUGAAAUCAGGGGAUCUUCGGACCUUGCGCGAUUGAAUGAGCCGAUGUCGGAUUAGCUAGUUGGCGGGGUAAAGGCCCACCAAGGCGACGAUCCGUAGCUGGUCUGAGAGGAUGAUCAGCCACACUGGAACUGAGACACGGUCCAGACUCCUACGGGAGGCAGCAGUGGGGAAUAUUGGACAAUGGGCGCAAGCCUGAUCCAGCCAUACCGCGUGGGUGAAGAAGGCCUUCGGGUUGUAAAGCCCUUUUGUUGGGAAAGAAAAGCAGCAGGUUAAUACCCCGCUGUUCUGACGGUACCCAAAGAAGAAGCACCGGCUAACUUCGUG